RNAcentral lists this small RNA (24 nucleotides) under Arabidopsis thaliana (thale cress). The record is from RNAcentral. Lineage: Eukaryota; Viridiplantae; Streptophyta; Magnoliopsida; Brassicales; Brassicaceae.
GUUUCGGAUGAUGAAUAGUCACUC